UAUUUAAUGGGACCGUUAAAUAGGUUAGCUACAUUGGAUAGAAAAUUUCCCAGCAUCUGUAACUAUGGCAUCCUUAGCCGAUGAGCAUGGGUGUUUUUUGUUUGCUGUAAUGUGGGGCUUCCUUCCCUUAUCUGACCCAAAUAGGAAGGGGGCAAAAAGGCAUCCUAUUCUUUUAGUUUUCUAUAACAAAUCCCCAGAUUAAUGCUAACCAAACCCCGUCUAUCUUAUUAAGCCUUUUGUUCAGUGUUCCAAGCUGAAAAGUACAAUGUCAGAGCAAUUAAAUACAAUUCAAAUAUGAAGCAAAUACGUCCAAUCAGAGACAUACAAUAUUCUAAAAAUAUACAUAUAACCCAUGCCUCAAAUUCGAAAUCACGAAUAAUUCGAUUCGUAAAACAGAUAUUAAGUUUGCCGAUAAAUCUAGUAAAGAGGUUACAUCACUUACCUUGCGAACGCGAUCCACAACAAAUCCAAUUAAUUCCGCAAAUCCCUCGCAGAACCUAAUAUUCAAAAACCAUUUUCUUCUUUUAAAAUUCAUCACAAUAUAUAUAUAUAUACAAAGACUUAAAUUUUUAAUAUCCCCCCUGGCUGAUCCUGCAGGAGUGCCUAGUACCCCAAGUUUGGGUUCAUACCCGUAAACCACCCCUUUUUUUUUGUUUUCUCUUUUCUUUUUCUUUUUUUUUCUUUUCUUUUUCUUCUUUCUUCUUUUCUCUCCCGACUCCCCCUCUUCUCCUUCGG
RNAcentral lists this long non-coding RNA (735 nucleotides) under Phoenix dactylifera (date palm). Its description in RNAcentral is "long non-coding RNA (PDAC_LNC018743)". Lineage: Eukaryota; Viridiplantae; Streptophyta; Magnoliopsida; Arecales; Arecaceae. The record is from RNAcentral.